Molecule: ribosomal RNA, 426 nt
Filed under: uncultured bacterium
Lineage: Bacteria
Description: bacterial SSU rRNA
Rfam family: Bacterial small subunit ribosomal RNA
Source: RNAcentral
GCAAGGAAUUUUGUGCAAUGGGCGAAAGCCUGACACAGCGACGCCGCGUGAGGGAUGAAGGCCUUCGGGUUGUAAACCUCUUUUCUCAGGGAUGAAUAAUGACAGUACCUGAGGAAUAAGUCACGGCUAACUACGUGCCAGCAGCCGCGGUAAUACGUAGGUGGCGAGCGUUAUCCGGAUUUACUGGGCGUAAAGUGAGCGCAGACGGUUUUUCAAGUCAGAUGUUAAAUCUCUCGGCCUAACCGGGUGGUCGCAUUUGAUACUGUGAAACUAGAGGGCAACAGGGGGAAGCAGAAUUCCCGGUGUAGUGGUGGAAUACGUAGAUAUCGGGAGGAAUACCAGUGGCGAAGGCGGCUUCCUGGGUUGUUUCUGACGUUCAUGCUCGAAGGUGUGGGGAGCAAACAGGAUUAGAAACCCUAGUAGUCC